UGCUGAGUGGCACAGUGGUUAAAAUGCUUGUCUUGAGUCCAAUGGCCUGGGUUCAAUUCCAGCUAUGCCA
Megalops atlanticus (tarpon) is the source of this 70-nucleotide non-coding RNA. Lineage: Eukaryota; Metazoa; Chordata; Actinopteri; Elopiformes; Megalopidae. The record is from the annotation of a GenBank genome assembly.